GGAUUUAGGAACAUCGGGGACAUGGCUCGGCAAACAAGUAUCAUGUGCUGAAGACAUUUGUUCAUAUUCUGCAUUUGACAUGAGGUGGACACAGGAAGAAAGAGUAGUUAAAAUAUGAAAAGACUGCAAAUUUGUAAGAGAGAUCCUCAAUUUAUGUCACGGUCGGCUAACAGUGAAGGAAGAUGAUCCAUUAAGUUAUUGGUCUUUAAUUACAAAUAUUAUGGUAUAGGAAGAAGGACAUC
This 242-nucleotide long non-coding RNA is filed under the name Elaeis guineensis (African oil palm). RNAcentral describes it as "long non-coding RNA (EGUI_LNC002956)". Lineage: Eukaryota; Viridiplantae; Streptophyta; Magnoliopsida; Arecales; Arecaceae. The record is from RNAcentral.